CCUACGGGUGGCAGCAGUGGGGAAUAUUGCACAAUGGGGGAAACCCUGAUGCAGCGACGUCGCGUGAGUGAUGACUUCUUUCGGUAUGUACAGCUCUAUCUGCAGGGAAGUAAAUGACGGUACCUGACCAUGAAGCCCCGGCUAACUACGUGCCAGCAGCCGCGGUACUAUGGAGGGGGCAAGCGUUAUCCGGAUGUACCGGGUGUAAGGGGAGCGUAGUCGGCGGUGCAAGCCAGAUGUGAAAGUCUGGGGCUCAACACCGAGACUGCAUUUGGAACUGGGCGGCUGCCGUAUCGGCGAGGCAGGCGGAAUUCGUGGUGUAGCGGUGAAAUGCGUAGAUAUUAGGAAGAACACCAGUGGCGAAGGCAGCUUGCGGGACGAUGACUGACGUUGAGGCUCGAAAGCGUGGGUAUCAAACAGGAUUAGAUACCCUAGUAGUC
This 440-nucleotide ribosomal RNA is filed under the name uncultured bacterium. Its description in RNAcentral is "partial 16S ribosomal RNA". It matches the Rfam family "Bacterial small subunit ribosomal RNA", at positions 338 to 795 of the family's 1533-position model. The record is from RNAcentral.